CUCAGGACACGCUGGCGGCGUGCUUAACACAUGCAAGUCGAACGGUGACCCAGGGCUUGCCCUGGUGAUCAGUGGCGAACGGGUGAGUAACACGUGGGCAACCUGCCCCUGACUUCGGGAUAACUCCUCGAAAGAGGAGCUAAUACCGGAUACGACCACUUCGGACAUCCGAUGGUGGUGGAAAGUUUUUCGGUCAGGGAUGGGCCCGCGGCCUAUCAGCUAGUUGGUGGGGUAAUGGCCUACCAAGGCGACGACGGGUAGCCGGCCUGAGAGGGCGACCGGCCACACUGGGACUGAGACACGGCCCAGACUCCUACGGGAGGCAGCAGUGGGGAAUAUUGCGCAAUGGGCGAAAGCCUGACGCAGCGACGCCGCGUGAGGGAUGAAGGCCUUCGGGUUGUAAACCUCUUUCAGCAGGGACGAAGCGAAAGUGACGGUACCUGCAGAAGAAGCACCGGCUAACUACGUG
RNAcentral lists this ribosomal RNA (469 nucleotides) under uncultured bacterium. RNAcentral describes it as "bacterial SSU rRNA". It matches the Rfam family "Bacterial small subunit ribosomal RNA", at positions 23 to 507 of the family's 1533-position model. The record is from RNAcentral.